CCUACGGGGGGCUGCAGUAAGGAAUAUUGGUCAAUGGACGCAAGUCUGAACCAGCCAUGCCGCGUGGAGGAUGAAGGUCCUCUGGAUUGUAAACUUCUUUUAUUUGGGAAGAAACUCCCGAUUUCCAUCGGGAUUGACGGUACCAGAUGAAUAAGCACCGGCUAACUCCGUGCCAGCAGCCGCGGUAAUACGGAGGGUGCAAGCGUUAUCCGGAUUCAGUGGGUGUAGAGGGUGCGUAGGGUCGCAGGUAAAAUCUCCGGGCUUAACCCGGGAACGGCCAUUGAUACUAUUUGUCUUGAAUACUCUGGGGGUGAGCGGAAUAUGUCAUGUAGCGGUGAAAUGCUUAGAUAUGACAUAGAACACCCAUUGCGAAGGCAGCUCACUACGGAAAUAUUGACGCUGAGGCACGAAAGCGUGGGGAUCAAACAGGAUUAGAUACCCGUGUAGUC
RNAcentral lists this ribosomal RNA (449 nucleotides) under uncultured bacterium. RNAcentral's name for it is "partial 16S ribosomal RNA". It matches the Rfam family "Bacterial small subunit ribosomal RNA", at positions 338 to 795 of the family's 1533-position model. The record is from RNAcentral.